This 497-nucleotide ribosomal RNA is filed under the name uncultured bacterium. Its description in RNAcentral is "partial 16S ribosomal RNA". It matches the Rfam family "Bacterial small subunit ribosomal RNA", at positions 28 to 507 of the family's 1533-position model. The record is from RNAcentral.
GAUGAACGCUGGCGGCGUGCCUAAUACAUGCAAGUCGAGCGAACAGACGAGGAGCUUGCUCCUCUGACGUUAGCGGCGGACGGGUGAGUAACACGUGGAUAACCUACCUAUAAGACUGGGAUAACUUCGGGAAACCGGAGCUAAUACCGGAUAAUAUAUUGAACCGCAUGGUUCAAUAGUGAAAGAUGGUUUUGCUGUAACUUAUAGAUGGAUCCGCGUCGCAUUAGCUGGUUGGUAAGGUAACGGCCUACCAAGGCGACGUAGCGUAGCCGACCUGAGAGGGUGAUCGCCCACACUGGAACGGGGACAGGGCCCAGACUCCUACGGGAGGCAGCAUUGGGGAAUCUUCCGCAAUGGGCGAAAGCCUGACGGAGCAACGCCGCGUGGGUGAUGAAGGUCUUCGGAUCGUAAAACUCUGUUAUUAGGGAAGAACAAAUGUGUAAGUAACUAUGCACGUCUUGACGGUACCUAAUCAGAAAGCCACGGCUAACUACGUG